Long non-coding RNA from Oncorhynchus keta (chum salmon), 1246 nucleotides. RefSeq lists it as uncharacterized. NCBI's taxonomy places the organism in Eukaryota, Metazoa, Chordata, Actinopteri, Salmoniformes, Salmonidae. The record is from RefSeq and is a predicted model, not a curated record. The transcript has 3 exons.
GUGUUUGUGACUGUGAGUACAGGUGGUGCUAGCUGUAUGUCGGUGUGUUUGUGACUGAGUACAGGUGGUGCUAGCCGUAUGUUGGUGUGUUUGUGACUGUGAGUACAGGUGGUGCUAGCUGUAUGUUGGUGUGUUUGUGACUGUGAGUACAGGUGGUGCUAGCCGUAUGUUGGUGUGUUUGUGACUGUGAGUACAGGUGGUGCUAGCCGUAUGUUGGUGUGUUUGUGACUGUGAGUACAGGUGGUGCUAGCUGUAUGUUGGUGUGUUUGUGACUGUGAGUACAGGUGGUGCUAGCCGUAUGUUGGUGUGUUUGUGACUGUGAGUACAGGUGGUGCUAGCCGUAUGUUGGUGUGUUUGUGACUGUGAGUACAGGUGGUGCUAGCCUUAUGUUGGUGUGUUUGUGACUGUGAGUACAGGUGGUGCUAGCCUUAUGUUGGUGUGUUUGUGACAGCCUUAUGUUGGUGUGUUUGUGACUGUGAGUACAGGUGGUGUUAAUCGUAUGUCGGUGUGUUUGUGACUGUGAGUACAGGUGGUGCUAGCUGUAUGUCGGUGUGUUUGUGACUGAGUACAGGUGGUGCUAGCCGUAUGUUGGUGUGUUUGUGACUGUGAGUACAGGUGGUGCUAGCUGUAUGUUGGUGUGUUUGUGACUGUGAGUACAGGUGGUGCUAGCCGUAUGUUGGUGUGUUUGUGACUGUGAGUACAGGUGGUGCUAGCUGUAUGUUGGUGUGUUUGUGACUGUGAGUACAGGUGGUGCUAGCCGUAUGUUGGUGUGUUUGUGACUGUGAGUACAGGUGGUGCUAGCCGUAUGUUGGUGUGUUUGUGACUGUGAGUACAGGUGGUGCUAGCCGUAUGUUGGUGUGUGUUCUCCUCUGUUUGAAUAGUGGUCAAACAAUAGUGCAUGUGUUUUGAGUUGUGGUUGGACCGUGAUUUGUGCACAUACGGAGUAUACCAAACAUCAGGAACACAUUCCUAAUAUUGAGUUGCACCAGCCCCCUUUGUCCCUCAGAACAGCUUCAACUCGUCAGGUCAUGGACUCUACAAGGUGUCGACGGCGUUUCACAGGGAUGCUGGCCAUGUUGACUGCGUCCCACAGUUGUUAAGUUGGCUGAAUGUCCUUUGGGUGGUUAACCAUUCUUGAUACACACGGGAAACUGUUGAGUGUGGGAAAACCCAGCAGCGUUGCAGUUCUUGACAGAAACCGGUGCACCUGGCACCUACUACCAUACCCCGUUCAAAGGCAUUUACA